AAACACAGAGCAGUAAAUGCCCCCAGCGGCUCCCCAGCCUCUGGCAUUUGAUUUUUGCAGCGGGCAGGAUUUACGGCUGACAAUGCGCCUUGUUAAGCCGGGCAGGAGGGAGCUGAUUCCCAAUGUGGACUUUUUUUUAUGUAUCUUUUUACUUUGCAAUUUCUUUUAGGAUGUGAAUAAAAAUGGGUUCAGGUGACAUUGGUGAGUUUAUACAGCAGCAUCUGGCAUCAGGAUUUCUGAUCGCUGCUCGGGGGGUGCUUAGCGGUGACACACUUGGUUAAAAGAGCACUGCUGAGUGGCUUUGAUUCAGUUCCUGUUGAAUUUCACAAUACUUCCCUAAUGCCACAUUAAGCAUGGAGUGGGGAGGGCUCCCAUUUAUCAGCGUGAGAGCUUUAUUGCCGUACAGUGCCGGGCUUUUUUUCUAAUCUUAUUUGUGCGUGUGAAAGCAACGUCACCCCUGACGCCAGCAGCGAGGGCAGGUUCUUCAGCGACCCUUCCGAGAAGGCGGCCGUCACCAUCCAGACCCACUUCAGGAGGUACCAGCAGCAGAAGCAGGAGAAGAAGUAGCUGCCUUGCCCACGCCCUGCACCAUCCCUCCUCUUGUCUGUUGUGUUCCCCAGCCAGAUUUGUGCCCGUGAACCCGCUAGGUAGCUCUUGGUGCACGCACAGCUGUAGGUGCUCCGCUGUUGGCUGCGGGUCGGUGGGGUCCUGGUGGCUCCUUCCUUCCCCAAAUAGCACUGCCCCGUGGCCAGGGACCACCAGCAAGGGGCUGUUGGCUGGGACCUCAGCACCCAGCAGCUCUGGCACUUGUCCUUUUCCUGGUGGCAGCACCCCCAGCUGCGUGGUGGCAGGCCCUGGGGAUGCCCAGCUGAGAGCUGUUGUGCCCAGCCAGCUGCCCAGCUGGGGCUCGUUGUGCUCACAACAGCUCCACUUUGCAGCUGGAGCUGGGGUUGGAACAUCAGCUUUCUUCCCUGACCCAACAUGGUGCCUACGAGCUGGCUGGGAAUGGGGUGCCACCAGGUAAGGGGAGCAGGAGGUGUGCCAUGUGCUGGGUGUGAGCUGAUUUUUGCUUUUCUCGGGCAGCACUGGGUGUCCUGGCUUUGGAAUGAGAGGGAGACUGGUUUUUUAGCAGCUAUUUUUGAGUACUGGCUUUCCUAGUGUGCAGAGCUCUCGAGAAAGAGGGGAAAAUAAAAACAGAUAGGAGGCCA
Molecule: long non-coding RNA, 1208 nt
Filed under: Anas platyrhynchos platyrhynchos (common mallard)
Lineage: Eukaryota; Metazoa; Chordata; Aves; Anseriformes; Anatidae
Description: lncRNA (ENSAPLG00000017341.1)
Source: RNAcentral